Molecule: ribosomal RNA, 465 nt
Filed under: uncultured bacterium
Lineage: Bacteria
Description: partial 16S ribosomal RNA
Rfam family: Bacterial small subunit ribosomal RNA
Source: RNAcentral
GAUGAACGCUGGCGGCGUGCUUAACACAUGCAAGUCGAACGGAAAGGCCCUGCUUGCAGGGUACUCGAGUGGCGAACGGGUGAGUAACACGUGGGUGAUCUGCCCUGCACUUCGGGAUAAGCCUGGGAAACUGGGUCUAAUACCGGAUAGGAGCCAUUUUUAGUGUGAUGGUUGGAAAGUUUUUUCGGUGUAGGAUGAGCUCGCGGCCUAUCAGCUUGUUGGUGGGGUAAUGGCCUACCAAGGCGGCGACGGGUAGCCGGCCUGAGAGGGUGGACGGCCACAUUGGGACUGAGAUACGGCCCAGACUCCUACGGGAGGCAGCAGUGGGGAAUAUUGCACAAUGGGCGCAAGCCUGAUGCAGCGACGCCGCGUGGGGGAUGACGGCCUUCGGGUUGUAAACUCCUUUCGCUUGGGACGAAGCUUUUUGUGACGGUACCUAGAUAAGAAGCACCGGCUAACUACGUG